This is a long non-coding RNA of Oncorhynchus tshawytscha (Chinook salmon), 601 nucleotides long. The record is from Ensembl. NCBI's taxonomy places the organism in Eukaryota, Metazoa, Chordata, Actinopteri, Salmoniformes, Salmonidae.
CAGUGGUCUGGCUGUGUUGGGCCGGGCUGGGAGGUGGUGGUGGUGGUCUCUGGGUGCUGGUCUAGGUGGAGAGGCAGAGGCAGGAGGAGCCUGCAGUGAAGGAGUGACUGUGGGUGUUGAGGUGGUGCCCGUGCCAGGCCAUGCCUGGGGGCCAGAGAGGGCAGAGGAGAUAGCAGCUGAGCCCUGCCCUCCCUAGAGACACUGGUAGGAGGCAGCCUCAGCAAUGGCAACAGACCCAGAAACAGAAACCACACCCCCUCUACAUACAGAGAACCCAGUCCAGUAGGAAGCCACUCCCCCUCUACAUACAAAGAACCCAGUCCAGGAGGAAGCCACUCCCCCUCUACAUACAGAGAACCCAGUCCAGGAGGAAGCCACUCCCCCUCUACAUACAGAGAACCCAGUCCAGGAGGAAGCCACUCCCCCUCUACAUACAGAGAACCCAGUCCAGUAGGAAGCCACUCCCCCUCUACAUACAGGGAACCCAGUCCAGGAGGAAGCCACUCCCUCUCCUCUGGUGUAGAGUUCCAUGAAACAGAAAGUCAUCUUUCAUACUGCCAUUGCUUAACCUACGGGAGAGAGCACCAAAAUGGCAGAGAAU